Nannospalax galili (Upper Galilee mountains blind mole rat) is the source of this 2218-nucleotide long non-coding RNA. RefSeq lists it as uncharacterized. The record is from RefSeq and is a predicted model, not a curated record. The transcript has 2 exons. NCBI's taxonomy places the organism in Eukaryota, Metazoa, Chordata, Mammalia, Rodentia, Spalacidae.
ACAAAAGAUCUUCUUUGGGUCCUUCUCAGGACUGGAGCUGCAAUGGGACAGUCACUGAAGCUGCUGUAGGGUCUGUCAAACUAAAUAACACAGAAAGGAGGGCCCCUAAAGACUGGUUAUGGGACUGAGGAGAUGGCUCAGGGUAAACGUGCUUGCAAUACAGGUGUGAGGAGCAGAGUUUGGAUCUCCAGCACCCGUGUAAAUGGCCAGGUGGAUUUGGCAGCCCACCUGUAAUCCCAGCACACAAGAGACAGAGACAGGAAAUCCCACAAGCAAGCUAACUAGCUAGACUAACCAAAUUGGCAGCUCCGGGUUCAAUGGAGAGACCCUGUCUCAAUAUAUAGGGUGAAAAGCAGCCGAGAAAAAUAUCUGAUGUUAAUCUGUCAUCUCCACACACACACACAUGCUCAAGCACCGCCCACACACAUGCACAUGUGAAUACGCAUGCAUACACAUGAAUAUGACACACAUACACACACACGCGCACACGCACACACACACAAAAAUGUAAUUAUUUUUAUUUGGGAACAAAGCCUUGCGGUGGGACUGUGUGCAUCUUAGUAAAUAAUGAACACAUUCAAGGAGGCUGAAACAAGAAGCUCUUAAAAACAAAAUGAGAAUUACAUAAGGCAUUUGAAAUGAAGCCUUAGCUGAAGGGUUAAUAGUAUAACAGAGAUGGCAUCAGCCCAAGGUUAAAUACAUAGAGGUGGGCAGCAGUUCUUGCAGAUGUAGGCUUUGUGUAACGUUGCACGGCUUUUGUGUAAGAUUAUAGUUCUGGCGGUCUCUUGGAAUGGUGUUUGUUAUCAGGCGCACAAGCACCAGCUCUGCCUCCCCUUCACAGCUUCCAGCUUUGUGUUUUAUUUAUUAUCUUGGUUAAGGCUUGACAAAAAUGACUCCAUUUUGAUUUCGAUCAAUUUCACAGUUCAAGGAUCUCACAAGAAGCUCCCUUCUCAAUAUAGACCCAGCUGUGUUCUAGACACAGCCCUUAUGGUUAUCCCCGAGACCUUCUUCUUGUCAAGGAAGCCCACAAAUAGCAUCCCAGAUAAAGAGGCUCUGCCACUGGCCCUCACUUCCUGCCAUCAUCCUGGGUGCAAGCCACAUUUCUUGAGGACCAUCCCCGCUGGGGACACCCUGGAGCUUCCAUCUUCUGGCCUCUAGCCUUUGGGACCAAGCAGUUCAGAGGACUGUAGACAGCAGGCAAGUACCUUCCACUUUGUCCGUGGAAUGAGUCCCAUUGAAACUCCUGUGCAUACUUGUGUCAUGACCCCAGCCUACAGAACACCUUACCCCUGAACUCCCUGUGUUUUGGCUAAUAGCUCCUCCUUCCCCUGUUCUACCAGGCUCUGGCCUGCUGUGAUUUCACAGAUUCUGCUUUUGUGUGAAGACCCCAAAUCCAUCUCCAAUAAGUUUCUGGAGGGACAGAGAGGUGGACAUUUAUCCCAGGCUUCAAAGACCGACAGUCUUUUGACUACGAGGAGAGACCACAUGCAAUAUAAGCAGGUUAUACACGUAAGUCUACCAGGCAGGCUAUAAAGCAGUAUGGAGAGUGAACCCCCCAGAUGGCACUAAACUCUCUGCUGUUGGAUUUCUUGGUGGCAUCUCAUUAUCAGCUAUGGCCAACAGUACUAGUAAACGCUUCCUUUAUUCUGAGAAAUCUUACAAAAGACCAUUUAGGGAAUCGUUACAAGAGCUUUACAGAAAUGAAAUUUACUAUUAAGGCCAUAUUACUAAUCACUGACUAAUGUGUUCAUGUUUAUUUUUAUCAUUUUGUUUCAUAUAAAAGUGCCUCAGCAGUGUUAGAAUACCAGACUAUAGCUUACCAAUAAAAUCGGAGAAUCUGGAAGUGGAUUCAGGAAACCAGCAGUUUUUAAAGUUCCUCCCAGUGGUGCCGAUGUGCAGCCAACUUUAGAACUACUGCAGCGCUUCUUGGAUAUUAAUAAGAGUCUGAAUCCUGCAGGCCCUGUUUAAAUGCAAGUGUUCAUUCAUGGGUCGGGAGCCAGGCCUGAGAUUCUGGGUUUCUAACCAGCUCCCAGGUGAUACAAUGCUGUGAUCACAGUUGAAAUAGGGAGAUGCUGGAUUGUGACAGUCCUCCACUUCUUUACCUUCAACCUAGUUAUUCUUUCUCAGUUGGCUAGAAGAAUAAUUAUAUGGUAUUGAUUUGAUUUCAUUUGUGUUAUUUGUGUCAUUGGCAAGAAUAAACAUGCUUUCCUUAGUAUUU